CGAGUUCGCUUUGCACGGGGUUGUUGUCGUCCCUCACGUGGUGUUUGCAGCUAGGAUGUCGGGAGGGGUCGAUGUGUUGUGGAAUGUUCCGCUCCUUGAAAUUUGAGUGACCCUUACCGUCUGCCAGUGAGGCCGCUUGCAAACACCCGUAUGGGACGACGAAGCUCUGGUGUUGCUCAACAUC
Molecule: microRNA precursor, 184 nt
Filed under: Physcomitrium patens
Lineage: Eukaryota; Viridiplantae; Streptophyta; Bryopsida; Funariales; Funariaceae
Description: Physcomitrella patens miR1062 stem-loop (ppt-MIR1062)
Source: miRBase by way of RNAcentral